Molecule: ribosomal RNA, 520 nt
Filed under: uncultured Glomus
Lineage: Eukaryota; Fungi; Glomeromycota; Glomeromycetes; Glomerales; Glomeraceae
Description: SSU rRNA
Rfam family: Eukaryotic small subunit ribosomal RNA
Source: RNAcentral
AGCAGCCGCGGUAAUUCCAGCUCCAAUAGCGUAUAUUAAAGUUGCUGCAGUUAAAAAGCUCGUAGUUGAAUUUCGGGGUCAAUAUGUUGGUCGUGCCUUGGUACGUACUAGCUUAUUGAUUCUCCUUUCUGACGAACCAUGAUGUCAUUAAUUUGGUGUCAUGGGGAAUCAGGACUGUUACUUUGAAAAAUUAGAGUGUUUAAAGCAGGCUCGCGCUUGAAUACAUUAGCAUGGAAUAAUGAAAUAGGACAUUUGAUUCUAUUUUGUUGGUUCUAGGAUCGAUGUAAUGAUUAAUAGGGAUAGUUGGAGGCAUUAGUAUUCAAUUGUCAGAGGUGAAAUUCUUGGAUUUAUUGAAGACUAACUACUGCGAAAGCAUUUGCCAAGGAUGUUUUCAUUAAUCAAAACGAAAGUUAGGGGAUCGAAGACGAUCAGAUACCGUCGUAGUCUUAACCAUAAACUAUGCCGACUAGGGAUCGGAUGAUGUUAAUUUUUUAAUGACUCAUUCGGCGCCUUACGGGAA